Molecule: ribosomal RNA, 253 nt
Filed under: uncultured bacterium
Lineage: Bacteria
Description: partial 16S ribosomal RNA
Rfam family: Bacterial small subunit ribosomal RNA
Source: RNAcentral
UACGUAGGGGGCAAGCGUUGUCCGGAUUUACUGGGCGUAAAGCGCGCGUAGGCGGAACGUUAAGUCCGGUCUGAAAGCCCCCGGCUCAACCGGGGAGGGUGGCUGGAAACUGGCGUUCUUGAGGGCGAGAGAGGAGGGUGGAAUUCCUGGUGUAGCGGUGAAAUGCGCAGAUAUCGGGAGGAACACCAAUGGCGAAGGCAGCUCGCUGGGACGGUACUGACGCUGAGACGCGAAAGCGUGGGGAGCAAACAGG